GCCGCCGAAGAGCAGUAAGACGCGUGAAUACGAGUCGCGCCGCCGCCGAGCCGUAAGUCGCGUGAAUACGAGUCGCGCAGCCAGAGAGCCAGUAAGACGCGUGAAGAGAGACGCGCCGCCGGAGAGCUUGUAAGCCGCGUGAAUUGGAGUCGUGACUAGGAUCCGAGGGAGCCAGCCGCAACAGAGGAGGUGAUGCCGGACCAGCACGUGAACCAACAAAUUGGACCUUAGUCAGGGAACCAGUAUCAAUGACCGUGAUCCUGACUUGUCGACAGAAGACGAUGCAUUCAUAAGGAUAAAAGUGCCUUCCGGUCCAACCUAUUUUUUAGUUGACCAAUAGGACUGGGCCUCAUUACAGAAAUUGAGAAAACCCAGAGGAUUCAAGGGCCUUGACUGGCAUUAUUUCCAAAGGAAUUCGAUCCAUCCAUCCAUACUGUUCAAUAGCUUUCAAAAGACAGAACUAAGACACUUGGCUCAAUAAGACAAGACCUGGAAUUUUGGUGUCUGUGUUACUGUCAAUUUGAGAACUGUCCUGUUGAAGUCACCGUCACAAUAGAUAGCAAAGGAUUUUUUUAAGACACUGUACAUUUCAAGGGUGGUAUGAGCAUCCACAAUCGCAUUGAACUAAAGUCAAGACCUGUGAGAGGAAGAGAAAGGGAUUCACUGGGGCAAAAAUUACAAAAAGAAUUGCCCAGAUCUCUCUACUUAAGAAACCUUCUGAAAUUGGACGAAGCAGUCAUGGAAUCAGGCUGCAGAGAUGACGCACUCACACCUCCUGUAUUGAAAACCAUUUCAUGGGAAAAGAGGCAAAGUCAUCUGCACAACAAUGAGCUGUUAAGUUUGCAUUUCAUGGUGGAAAGAAAGACUUAAGCCAGAUGUGCUCCAAAAAGUAUUUUUAUUCCCCAAAGGUGUACUGUAUUGACAUUUAUCGUGACAGGACCAGAGAAGACAUCCUCUAUUUGGACGCCACUGGCAGCAUCAUAAAGAAGGAAAAAUGCUCCCCACCAUUCUAUGUGUAUGAGCUUCUUGUGAAGAAUUCAUUGAAAAACUCCUCACCCUUCCCUACUUGACUCGUGAACACACCACUGCCUCGGUCAAGUAUUUUCUUGACACGUUUCAAGGAUGUAUGGACAGAGAGCGAUGCAGGCACCAGUCAUGCUUCUAUUGUGCUAAUGCAAGCACUGUGUCUUUCAUUUAUAAAGACCAAUUUGAAUAGCACCAUUGAACAUUACUACUCUAUAGUUUGUGGAAAGGGGACAUCCACAGAUUUUGAAGUACCUAUCCUACACUGUUGCUUGAGGCAUUUGAUGAAGAAUGCCAAGGACAUUUGCAGAAAAUAUUACUAUUUUCAUUAGUAAUUUGAACAAUGUCAUCCAUAUUUGUUAACUGGUUGCUAAUUUUAUCAAUAAAUCUUAUAAAUAUC
This is a long non-coding RNA of Phyllopteryx taeniolatus (common seadragon), 1423 nucleotides long. RefSeq lists it as uncharacterized. NCBI's taxonomy places the organism in Eukaryota, Metazoa, Chordata, Actinopteri, Syngnathiformes, Syngnathidae. The transcript has 2 exons. The record is from RefSeq and is a predicted model, not a curated record.